CCUACGGGAGGCAGCAGUGGGGAAUUUUGGACAAUGGGCGCAAGCCUGAUCCAGCCAUGCCGCGUGCGGGAAGAAGGCCUUCGGGUUGUAAACCGCUUUCGGCCGGAACGAAAUCGCCCGGGUGAAUAUCCCGGGUGGAUGACGGUACCGGAAGAAGAAGCACCGGCUAACUACGUGCCAGCAGCCGCGGUAAUACGUAGGGUGCGAGCGUUAAUCGGAAUUACUGGGCGUAAAGCGUGCGCAGGCGGUCUCGUAAGACAGGUGUGAAAUCCCCGGGCUCAACCUGGGAACUGCGCUUGUGACUGCGAGGCUGGAGUGUAGCAGAGGGAGGUGGAAUUCCACGUGUAGCAGUGAAAUGCGUAGAGAUGUGGAGGAACACCGAUGGCGAAGGCAGCCUCCUGGGCCAGCACUGACGCUCAUGCACGAAGCGUGGGGAGCAAACAGGAUUAGAUACCCUGGUAGUCCACGCCCUAAACGAUGACGACUAGUUGUUGGGAUAGAAGUACCUUAGUAACGCAGCUAACGCGUGAAGUCGUCCGCCUGGGGAGUACGGUCGCAAGAUUAAAACUCAAAGGAAUUGACGG
This 584-nucleotide ribosomal RNA is filed under the name uncultured bacterium. RNAcentral describes it as "bacterial SSU rRNA". It matches the Rfam family "Bacterial small subunit ribosomal RNA", at positions 338 to 916 of the family's 1533-position model. The record is from RNAcentral.